Molecule: ribosomal RNA, 273 nt
Filed under: uncultured Bacillus sp.
Lineage: Bacteria; Bacillati; Bacillota; Bacilli; Caryophanales; Bacillaceae
Description: partial 16S ribosomal RNA
Rfam family: Bacterial small subunit ribosomal RNA
Source: RNAcentral
UACGUAGGUGGCAAGCGUUGUCCGGAAUUAUUGGGCGUAAAGCGCGCGCAGGCGGCCUCUUAAGUCUGAUGUGAAAGCCCACGGCUCAACCGUGGAGGGUCAUUGGAAACUGGGAGACUUGAGUGCAGAAGAGGAGAGCGGAAUUCCACGUGUAGCGGUGAAAUGCGUAGAGAUGUGGAGGAACACCAGUGGCGAAGGCGGCUCUCUGGUCUGUAACUGACGCUGAGGCGCGAAAGCGUGGGGAGCGAACAGGAUUAGAUACCCUCGUAGUCC